Molecule: ribosomal RNA, 474 nt
Filed under: uncultured bacterium
Lineage: Bacteria
Description: bacterial SSU rRNA
Rfam family: Bacterial small subunit ribosomal RNA
Source: RNAcentral
GAUGAACGCUGGCGGCGUGCCUAACACAUGCAAGUCGAACGAAGCGCUUUGAAGUUUUCGGACAGAUGAGUGACUGAGUGGCGGACGGGUGAGUAACGCGUGGGUAACCUGCCUCAUACAGGGGGAUAACAGUUAGAAAUGACUGCUAAUACCGCAUAAGCGCACAGUACCGCAUGGUACAGUGUGAAAAACUCCGGUGGUAUGAGAUGGACCUGCGUCUGAUUAGCUAGUUGGUGAGGUAACGGCCCACCAAGGCGACGAUCAGUAGCCGACCUGAGAGGGUGACCGGCCACAUUGGGACUGAGAUACGGCCCAGACUCCUACGGGAGGCAGCAGUGGGGAAUAUUGGGCAAUGGGCGCAAGCCUGACCCAGCGACGCCGCGUGAAGGAAGAAGGCCUUCGGGUUGUAAACUUCAGUCAACAGGGAAGAAACAAAUGACGGUACCUGGAGAAAAAGCAACGGCUAACUACGUG